Molecule: ribosomal RNA, 459 nt
Filed under: uncultured bacterium
Lineage: Bacteria
Description: partial 16S ribosomal RNA
Rfam family: Bacterial small subunit ribosomal RNA
Source: RNAcentral
CCUACGGGAGGCUGCAGUGAGGAAUAUUGGUCAAUGGCCGGAAGUCUGAACCAGCCAAGUCGCGUGAAGGAAGACGGCCCUACGGGUUGUAAACCUCUUUUGUCGGGGAGCAAAGCGAGUCACGUGUGACUCCUUGAGCGUACCCUAAGAAAAAGCAUCGGCUAACUCCGUGCCAGCAGCCGCGGUAAUACGGAGGAUGCGAGCGUUAUCCGGAUUUAUUGGGUUUAAAGGGUGCGCAGGCGGAGGGGCAAGUCAGCGGUCAAAUUGCGGGGCUCAACCCCGGACUGCCGUUGAAACUGCAUGCCUUGAGUGCGGGAGAAGUAGGCGGAAUGCGUGGUGUAGCGGUGAAAUGCAUAGAUAUCACGCAGAACGCCGAUUGCGAAGGCAGCAUACCGGGGCGCAACUGACGCUCAGGCACGAAAGCGUGGGUAUCGAACAGGAUUAGAUACCCUUGUAGUC